UACGGGGGGGGCAAGCGUUGUUCGGAAUUACUGGGCGUAAAAGGCUUGUAGGUGGCCACGGCAAGUCGGAUGUGAAAUCUCCCGGCUCAACUGGGAGGGGUCAUUCGAUACUGCCGGGCUCGAGGCCGGUAGGGGGAAGCGGAAUUCCCGGUGUAGUGGUGGAAUGCGUAGAUAUCGGGAGGAACACCAGAGGCGAAGGCGGCUUCCUGGACCGGUCCUGACACUGAGGAGCGAAAGCGUGGGGAGCGAUCCGG
RNAcentral lists this ribosomal RNA (254 nucleotides) under uncultured bacterium. RNAcentral describes it as "partial 16S ribosomal RNA". It matches the Rfam family "Bacterial small subunit ribosomal RNA", at positions 524 to 776 of the family's 1533-position model. The record is from RNAcentral.